This 433-nucleotide ribosomal RNA is filed under the name uncultured bacterium. Its description in RNAcentral is "partial 16S ribosomal RNA". It matches the Rfam family "Bacterial small subunit ribosomal RNA", at positions 29 to 507 of the family's 1533-position model. The record is from RNAcentral.
AACGAACGCUGGCGGCAUGCCUAACACAUGCAAGUCGAACGAGACCUUCGGGUGUAGUGGCGCACGGGUGCGUAACGCGUGGGAACCUGCCCUUAGGUUCGGAAUAACUCCCCGAAAGGGGUGCUAAUACCGGAUAAUGACUUCGGACCAAAGAUUUAUCGCCUUUGGAUGGGCCCGCGUUGGAUUAGCUAGUUGGUAGGGUAAAAGCCUACCAAGGCGACGAUCCAUAGCUGGUCUGAGAGGAUGAUCAGCCACACUGGGACUGAGACACGGCCCAGACUCCUACGGGAGGCAGCAGUGGGGAAUAUUGGACAAUGGGCGAAAGCCUGAUCCAGCAAUGCCGCGUGAGUGAUGAAGGCCUUAGGGUUGUAAAGCUCUUUUACCCGGGAUGAUAAUGACAGUACCGGGAGAAUAAGCUCCGGCUAACUCCGUG